Molecule: long non-coding RNA, 3214 nt
Filed under: Nicotiana tabacum (common tobacco)
Lineage: Eukaryota; Viridiplantae; Streptophyta; Magnoliopsida; Solanales; Solanaceae
Description: long non-coding RNA (NTAB_LNC004438)
Source: RNAcentral
UUUUACAAUUUACACGCUAUCUAAUAUGUUUAGAUUAACGUGUUCCUUCAAGUACUACUAGAUAAUGCAUGUCCGUACUGUGCACGGGCCCAACAGUUAAUAUUGUUGUGUUGAACAAAGUUUUGAAUUUGACAAUAAAAAACUCCAGAAAACCAAUAGACCAUUACCCAGCAAUGUGAAUUAUGAAGCGCAUCUGAUUUCCACUUGUACUUUGCCCAUAAAUGAGAAAAAUGGGUCAAUGACCAUCUUUGACAGACUGAGUCGCUAACUGAUCCAAUAAAUCACUUUUGAUAUCUCAACUCAAGUAGUCACCGCUCCAGAAUAAUGCUGUAAACAAACACAAAUUUUAUUUCAGCUAAAAGUAAUUUGGCUGGAUCAUCCAUUAAUAACAAAAUGCUAGAACAUAAAUAGUAGAACAAUGAUCACUAUUCAAAUUAAAAUAAAUAUAAAUAAAUAGCUGAGUAAUGGAAGUCGAAGAAAACCUGAAACUAUUGCAGUUUCCGCCAUUUUCGAAAUACAAAAAAAUCAAAGCCACCUUAUAUGAAAUAAUAUAAACUCAAAUUGUCCAAAGAAGUGCACACACAUAUGACCUGCUAUGUCAAAUGCAAGUAGGCGAUAAGGCUUGCUAAUUCAUCCAUCAAGACAGGCACAUAAUCUGCACAAGCAUGUUCACUACACCAUUCAGUUCCCUGAUUGCAUUAUGCACAUCUCUUUUGUCAAGAAAGUUUAAGAAGAGGGCAUCUUGCAACUGAAACACUUCAUAUAAAUUUGUGUUCAUGAACAGGAUUUGAAAAAUAUUACUUUAAGGGAUGUAUAGCAGUCAAAUUUCAUAAAUAAUUGGCUCUAACGUUAGCUGCAACUGAUAACUAAAACUCAUAAACCUCCCCUUAGUUACAUCUCAUAAAUUCAAUUUUUUUCAGACACAAAAUUUAAUAUUCAUGAAUGCCAGGUAGUGCAAAGGUGAAUUUACCAGAUUAAUUUUCUGUUUGACAAAUAGAGAAAGCUUAAUAUUGUUAUAGAUGCAGAAACAAACUUUAUUCAUCAUGUUAUCACAUAUGCCUAGAAAUAAUGCACAUAUUGCAGUUUACUGUCAUUUGGUCAUUUGGUAAUUUUUUUAGAGGAAUUGCAACUACUUGCUAGAAUUCUACAACCUGUUUGGUGGUAGUCUCUUGUUCUAGAGAAAUACACAAAAAGUCCUUUCAAAGCUAACUUCUUUUAUGACUAUCACAUAGAUGAGAAAAUAAUGCACAUGAAUUACAAUCGACUUCUAUUUGGCAGGUUGUUACUUUUAGAAAAUACUUACACAAGUAUUUAUUAGUAGACUUGUAUAAGCAAUUGAUUGUAAAAAAAGAGUAGUCUGGUGCACUAAGCUCCCACUACGUGCGAGGUCCGGGGAAGGGUCGGACCACAAGGGUCUAUUGUACGCAGCCUUGCCCUGCAUAAACUUAUAACAAAAUGUAAUCUCCCAAAAGCUACUUUACACUUUUAACCUGCAACAAGUUGAUUUAUGUUAAGACGACACUGUAAGCUAAACAGUAUGAUAGUUUCACUCAUAUCUAACUAAUUCAAAAUGUCUUUAUGCAUUCCUCCUAAUUGUAUCUCAAACCUAAACCAUAAUUCUGUUUCCUUUUUUUAUAUGUAACACCCAGUAUAAUUUCAUUUACUUUUGAAAGAGGGAAUGCAACAAUAAGUUUUUCGAAAGGAGAAUAACUGUAAGAUAUCCAUUUAUUCUAUAAAGAGCAAUAGCAUAGUGAGAAUGAACAUUCUGUUCCACUUUAUUUCCUAAACUGUUACACUAUCGAUUCUGAAAGAAUAAUUACAAUCUGUCAAGGACAGCAAAAAACCAAUCUCUCAAAAUAAAUAGAGCAAACGAAAAAGAGUCAACUAAGUCAGUGAAUUAUAAAAGUACUUUCUUGUAAUUCUGAAUAAGCAAACUGUGAGUUCUUCAUUUUAUCUAUAUGUUGCUACAAAAAAUAGAUAAAUCUUUUUUGGGAUAAAGUUGAGAAACAAGUAAAUUCACCUGUCAAGGUUGGAGAUUGGCAUGUGUUUUAGCUGUUUAGAGGAAAAGCAAACUCACAGAGAAAGACUUCAUUGCUGCAAAGCAAAAGGUAAAGUUAAAUAUUAAGAAGUUAAUUUACAGGCUUAAAUGGCUUGACUUGUCACCCCUCUGUUGCUCUCCAGAAAGUCAAAUUUCCUGAAAAUUUAGUAAAUAAUAGAAGGUACGCUCAUAUAGACUCUUGCUAACACAAGAAAAUUGAUAAUUUAAAUCAGGAAUAGAUGUUCUAGCCUCAAUACUUCUUGUUAAGGAAUAGAAUGCGACAACUCCAGUAAAAGGUGAGCAAAGCACUACAAAUUGAGCCUUAAAAAAAAAUCACUACCAAUGGAUGUACCUGCUUCCCCCGCCUAAUAGCAAGAAAGAUCAGAUGAAGCUGCUGAAUUUUAUAUUUAUUUCGUGAUCUCACUAUACAUAGACAAUAGGAGGGGAGGGGAAGCUAAACCCACAAACACAUCGCCUAGCGGUCCAUGGAGUAUGUAUCUGAAACUACUGACAAAGAAGCUGUGGGUCAGUUUUCUUGAAGAAGAAAAACACACCUCGAGCCGACCUUCCUUGCCAAACUUGGGUCUAGUAUGAGUUGAUAAGCUCAACAAGACUGAAGAUUUUAAUUCCAAAGCAACAUUAACAUUAUAACAACCCACCCCCACCCCCAACCACUUUCCUCCUUACCAUUUUCACAUAGUUGCAGAGCCUUUCACACUGCAACACCAAAAAACAGGGAAUCUCGGGGCUUGGAGAUUAUUAGAGCUAGUUACUUUCACAUUUGACAUAUUUAAUUGUGUAAUUGGAGAUGCCCACACAUGCAUUAAGCAUCUCAUUUCUUCAAUCUUCCGAUCCUGCAUCUUAUGAUUAGUGAUGAAGUCAGCAGCGGGUUAUUAAAAUGGUCUAGGAGCUGAAAACAGUGUGAGAUCUUUUGUAACAAUAUAAUACCUUUUCCACUUUGGGAGGAACACCCCAAUUAAAAAACACAAAUUGUUCCUCCGCCAAUCCAUGAUUUAUGACCCUUAAUUUUUGUUACUCCAACAUCUCUCUGAGCAAUUCCACACUUCUUUUGUUAAUGUCACCACCUCUUAGCACUGUUGUUAAUCUGGGGUACAAGGUUGGAUAAUCCAGGCUACCAGGCAUAUCCUACAUAAAUAAAAACUCAAAUAUCAAUGU